Long non-coding RNA from Choloepus didactylus (southern two-toed sloth), 1915 nucleotides. RefSeq lists it as uncharacterized. The record is from RefSeq and is a predicted model, not a curated record. NCBI's taxonomy places the organism in Eukaryota, Metazoa, Chordata, Mammalia, Pilosa, Megalonychidae. The transcript is spliced from 3 exons.
AGCGGGGGAGCAGGGGCUCCCUGUGAGGGGCUUGGGCAAUCCCCGGGGUCGUGCAGCUUGGGCAGAGCUGGGACUGGGAGCUGGUCCCUCAGCCCAGCGCGGGCUCGCCCUCCGCCGCGGCCCACCAGGGGCUCAGGCCCCCCACCCGUGUUCGUGAAGCUCCCGUGGGAUCCCAGGCCGGAGAGCGUUCAAUGUCCCACGGCCUGAGGGGCGCAAACGGACUCGAAUGCCCCUUUUCCGGGCACUCGCCGCAGACCCGGGCUCUGGAGAGGUGAGGGGCGUGACGCCACGGAGGAUUUCUUCCUGGCAGUUUCCCUCAGCGCAGAGUGGACAAAAUCGUCCUCGCCCACUUCUGAAGACGUGGAGACCGCAUCCACUGAGCCUGACUAGAAACAGUAUCACUGCCUUUGGAACAGAUUACAGCAACAUUUAACUGCUGUUUCCAUAUGAGAACAGAGCUCUCUUGUUGGACGACUCACGUCAGCAAUGACGGCAAAAAGCACUGCAAAGAGGGAAUCCACGAAUAACAAGGACAGACAGUGCUUGGCCUUUUCAGGACAAUUUCCUCUCUCAACUGAAGAAGGGAAUCAUUUAUAAAAGGGCAACUCAGGGGAUCCUCGUGGUGAUGAAAGUUCAAUAUCCUGAUUGAGAACAGUGGAUCUGUGAACCCACCGGUGAUAAAGGUGCAUGAAAAUAAAUACAGCACACAUGCAUGAGUGCAAGUAAAACCACGGAGCUCUGGAUAAGAAGGGUAGAAUGUACCAAAGUCAACAUUAUGUCUGUGAUAUUGUUUGACAGUUUUGCAAGAUGUUGCUACUGGGGGGAACCUGGGUGGGCUGCAUUCAAACUCUCUCUGUAUUAUUUCUUACAAUUGCAUGUGAGUACACAAUGAUCUCUAAAUAAAAUUUAAUUAAGAAAGUCGCCGUCCCUCCCACUCAGAGCUGCUCCAAUGCCCUUGUUUCCUUGAAUCACCUUGAAUGGCUCUUGACAGUCCCCCUUAAUUCUCUCUCCUUCUCCCCAUUAAAGGGACCCCACAUGAACAACAAUGCUGAAAGAAUAAGUGUAAAUUCUGACCACAUCCCUUUCUGGUUCUCGUGGUAGAAGCAAAGAGGUAUCCCAGUGGAUACCAAACAUCCAAAGAUGAAGUUGCUUUGUUCAAAGAUGCAUCUCCAAUGGAUAAUGGGCCACUUUUCUUCAGGUGCAUGGUAGCUGGAGAACUUGGGGUUUCCACAAACUAAUAACAGCCCUACCCUCCAAGCGACUGCCAGGAGGGAUGGACCUGCAUUUAAUUCAUAACAUGGAAGUACCCUUGCACAUGGUCGUCGGGAAGUAAUUUCAAAUGCUCAGCCUCUCUGUGUCUAUCAAUGGUUUGAGUAAUGGAGGGGUGUCUAUGAAGGCUGGUGGGUGCAGCCCACCCGUUCUCUGCAGGGAGCUGAAAGGUGACCCUGGAAGUCAGGCUGGCAGCCACAGCCAACCUACACCAAGACAUGCUAUGGAAAACCGCUCGGGAGCCCCAGCUCUGGGUCUGCACCGAGCAUGUGACAGAGGACCAAUCCCAAGCCACGGCUUCUUGUUUCUGACAGCCUCAGCAGGAGACGGGAGGCUCCGGAGUUUGUUUGGUGCUGCAGCAGCACUUCUGAGCAGAGAGAGCAGGCAGGACCCGAUGGCUUCAUCUCCAAGCCCUCCUUUGAGCCUCCCCUGUUUGAGGCUGAAGAUUCCCAACUCCAGGUACCACCCAACAAGAUGCUACUGCCUCCCCCAAGGGUUGGGGGCUCGCAGCUUCCCUAGGAGUCACUCCCUCAUCAAAAGGAAAAGGGAUGGCUCUCUCUCUUUCUAAGCCCACUCGGCAGGUGAACUCACUGCCCUCCUCAUUACGUGGGACCUGACUCCUGGGGUGUAAAUCUCACUGGCAACA